RNAcentral lists this unclassified non-coding RNA (1710 nucleotides) under Hevea brasiliensis (rubber tree). The record is from RNAcentral. Lineage: Eukaryota; Viridiplantae; Streptophyta; Magnoliopsida; Malpighiales; Euphorbiaceae.
AGGAGGAGGAGGAGGAGGAGGGGGUGUUGCAAAAGGUGGUGGCGGAUGGUGGUGAUGGUGAUGGUGGUGGGGAUGAGGGAGAGGGGUAGGAGAAGGUGAGGGACUGCCUUCGCCACCAUGGAGUGAAUGUGGCAAGAUAGAUGAAAGACGCACUUGCUUAACUUUACCAAAAACAGUGUUAUUCAGACCAAGGUUCCUUGAAUGACCUCUUAUGGUUUGAGCCAGUUGCUUUAACCUUUGCAUUGAGGGAGUAUUCCCAACAGCCAAUACAACAGAUGACUGAACAGUAGUAGGGGGAGCCACCGUUGAACCUUUGGAGUUUGAUAAACUUAUGUACAAGUUCUCAUAAGCCGCUAGAUGUAGGCCUGACUUCAGCUGACUUGUUAGUUCAGCAAAAUUUACUUGUAUUUGAUAAAUAGAGAAGUUCAAAGUGAAGUUGAAUCGUAUUUGCACUUUCUGCAGAAGAAACGCACUCUGUGGUGGAAUUAUAGUGAUCCCUCCAGGGAAUUUUUGCACCUCGAAAGAGAAUGGAUCCCCAAAUAAGGAUUUAGUCAAGCUGAAUGAUUGAUUUACAACCAAAAACUCAAAAGUGGCCCUGAUAAGACUUUGAGUAGUUGAUGAUAAUUUUGAAUUUUUUGCAUCAGGAUCAACCCCAAACACAACCGUUGUUGUGUUUGGUUCCACUGAAGGUUCUAGAGACAAUAUAGCCACCUUGAUGCUAGGAGAGCUUAUCUCAUAAAAAACAUCGUCCACAAGCUGCAAGAUAUUGUCUUCCAGAAAGGGAAUUGAAUUUCUGACAUUGAAACUUGCUACUAUAUCGUGAUUUUUAAACCUGGGAUCAAGAUCCAGAUCUCCCUGAUCUGCAAAGUGAAGGAAGGGAGGUAGCCAGAAGACAGCAGAGAGAAACAAAGCCACAGACAACAGAAGCACCAAUACACAUCUGAGCCGAAUGAGCCUAUAAAUGCGUUUAAACCCACAACCACAACAUCCAAAGGAUCUCCUCUGUACAUUUUGCUGAGAACUAUCAUCACUGGUAGGCAAUGGCUGCUCCUCUUCAACACCAACCUUUCCCAUAAGCAAAGCAAAGAACAAUGCAGACAAUAGCAAGACAAAACUUCUUGUAGCUUAUGGUCCUUCAUGCCAACAGCCAUAGCAUGUUUGGUGGCGAACUAGGUCUCUGUUGGUUGCUCCCAUUUCCCUAUUAUUCUUCCUUAUCAGUGGGUUUGGUUUCUACAGUAAAAAAAAAAAAAAAAAAGGAAAGAAGGAUUUCUUUGUCUCAACAAAUUUACCAUAAUUCAUUCCACAGUUGAUGUUAGGACGCAUUUCACUAUCAUGUUCUAGGAUGUGGGUCACCAUUAUCAGUUAGAUAACCAACUAUAUUGACCUCAGGAUCUUGUCACACUUAUAAUUUAUUGGCAGUUAGGAUUAGGCUGACCUAACAAAUUUAGUACGAAUGGUUGAAAUCUGUGUGGUAUACUUGUAUAUUAGUAAAAUGAAUUUUGACUUACAUCACCAUUUUGGUUUCCAACACUAGAGGUUUUUUCUGCUAAUAUCUAUGUAUUUGGAUUUUUAUACCUGUAUGCUAUUUGCUUCUAGCUAUUGAGGACAUUUGGUUGUGAAAUUAGUGACUUAAUUUAGUACUAUAACAAGAUUGGCAAAAUUAUCAUAAUUCUCGUUUGAACCUCCAGGCACAUCCAGCCCUAAACAAGA